Molecule: ribosomal RNA, 252 nt
Filed under: uncultured bacterium
Lineage: Bacteria
Description: partial 16S ribosomal RNA
Rfam family: Bacterial small subunit ribosomal RNA
Source: RNAcentral
UACGGAGGGGGCUAGCGUUGUCCGGAAUUAUUGGGCGUAAAGCGCGCGCAGGCGGUUCUUUAAGUCUGGUGUUUAAACCUGGGGCUCAACUUCAGGUCGCACUGGAAACUGGGGGACUUGAGUGCAGAAGAGGAGAGUGGAAUUCCACGUGUAGCGGUGAAAUGCGUAGAUAUGUGGAGGAACACCAGUGGCGAAGGCGACUCUCUGGGCUGUAACUGACGCUGAGGCGCGAAAGCGUGGGGAGCAAACAGG